Molecule: transfer RNA, 86 nt
Filed under: Candidatus Shapirobacteria bacterium CG09_land_8_20_14_0_10_39_12
Lineage: Bacteria; Candidatus Shapironibacteriota
Description: tRNA-Leu
Rfam family: tRNA
About the family: Transfer RNA (tRNA) molecules are approximately 80 nucleotides in length.
Source: RNAcentral
GGUCGAGUGGUGGAAUGGUAUACACGCAGCACUUAAAAUGCUGUCCUUAACAAAGGGUGCGGGUCCGACUCCCGCCUCGACCACCU